AAUUUUGGACAAUGGGGGAAACCCUGAUCCAGCCAUCCCGCGUGUAUGAUGAAGGUCUUCGGAUCGUAAAGCUCUGUCCUUGGGGAAGAAGGUCUUCGGACUUGACGGUACCUAAGGAGGAAGCCCCGGCUAACUACGUGCCAGCAGCCGCGGUAAUACGUAGGGGGCAAGCGUUGUCCGGAAUUAUUGGGCGUAAAGGGUGCGUAGGCGGCCUUUUAAGUCAGAUGUGAAAGCCCACGGCUUAACCGUGGGACUGCAUUUGAAACUGGAAGGCUUGAGUAUCGGAGAGGGUAGUGGAAUUCCCAGUGUAGCGGUGGAAUGCGUAGAUAUUGGGAGGAACACCAGUGGCGAAGGCGACUACCUGGACGAAAACUGACGCUGAGGCACGAAAGCUAGGGGAGCAAACAG
RNAcentral lists this ribosomal RNA (408 nucleotides) under uncultured bacterium. Its description in RNAcentral is "partial 16S ribosomal RNA". It matches the Rfam family "Bacterial small subunit ribosomal RNA", at positions 360 to 775 of the family's 1533-position model. The record is from RNAcentral.